Molecule: non-coding RNA, 367 nt
Organism: Carica papaya (papaya)
Lineage: Eukaryota; Viridiplantae; Streptophyta; Magnoliopsida; Brassicales; Caricaceae
Source: RefSeq, a predicted model, not a curated record
CACAGGUGGCCAUAUCCAUUUCUAGACUUGUCAUCUUCAUUUGCUCCUUUAUGGUAUGCUGCAGUUGGAUUGAUGCAUUUCCCGUGCUAUGGCAUAUUUGCUCUAAUUAUAAAGCUCAAGUACUAUUGGCUGUCGAAAUGGUUCCCCUGAUCUUGUCAGAUUUUGAGGUGAGAGAGGUAUAGUGAAAAUAUCAGAAAGAAAAUCAAAUGUGUUUGCUUUCUGGAGAUGGAUAGUGUAUAUAUACUAGUAUUCAACACUUGAGAAAAGGUGGGUACAGAAUCUGGAGACCGAUAUUGUUUAUAAUUGAAUUCAAUAAUAUGGUAUUGUUUACCAUAGAAAUGCAUGUAGAUUGCUGUUCGUGUGCUUA